This 27-nucleotide non-coding RNA is filed under the name Cricetulus griseus (Chinese hamster). Lineage: Eukaryota; Metazoa; Chordata; Mammalia; Rodentia; Cricetidae. The record is from RNAcentral.
ACCAGCUUGUUGGGAUCUCUGCGGAAG